AAAACUUUCAACAACGGAUCUCUUGGUUUCCAGCAUCGAUGAAGAACGCAGCGAAAUGCGAUAACUAAUGUGAAUUGCAGAAUUCAGUGAUCAUCGAGUUUGAACGCACAUUGGCCCGGGWUUCGGGGGGCAUGCCUGUUCGAGCGUCAUUAC
This 153-nucleotide ribosomal RNA is filed under the name Protousnea dusenii. RNAcentral describes it as "5.8S ribosomal RNA". It matches the Rfam family "5.8S ribosomal RNA". From Rfam's summary of the family: 5.8S ribosomal RNA (5.8S rRNA) is a component of the large subunit of the eukaryotic ribosome. It is transcribed by RNA polymerase I as part of the 45S precursor that also contains 18S and 28S rRNA. Lineage: Eukaryota; Fungi; Ascomycota; Lecanoromycetes; Lecanorales; Parmeliaceae. The record is from RNAcentral.